This 178-nucleotide unclassified non-coding RNA is filed under the name uncultured Ruhlandiella. Its description in RNAcentral is "sequence contains ITS2". The record is from RNAcentral. Lineage: Eukaryota; Fungi; Ascomycota; Pezizomycetes; Pezizales; Pezizaceae.
CCCCCACACUCAAGUCUCUUAAUUGAAGCUUGGAUGACUUUAAAGAAGUGGCUGAAAUACAAUAGGCUACUCUUUAGAAAUUCAUAGGCAGUAUGGCACCUGAAUUAGGCGUAAUAAGAAUAUAAAAGCGUCAAUCUUUAGGAAGGUUGUACUUGCCUCAACCCACCCAUUUUCUUUU